GAUGAACGCUGGCGGCGUGCCUAAUACAUGCAGGUCGAGCGAACAGACGAGGAGCUUGCUCCUCUGACGUUAGCGGCGGACGGGUGAGUAACACGUGGAUAACCUACCUAUAAGACUGGGAUAACUUCGGGAAACCGGAGCUAAUACCGGAUAAUAUAUUGAACCGCAUGGUUCAAUAGUGAAAGACGGUUUUGCUGUCACUUAUAGAUGGAUCCGCGCCGCAUUAGCUAGUUGGUAAGGUAACGGCUUACCAAGGCAACGAUGCGUAGCCGACCUGAGAGGGUGAUCGGCCACACUGGAACUGAGACACGGUCCAGACUCCUACGGGAGGCAGCAGUAGGGAAUCUUCCGCAAUGGGCGAAAGCCUGACGGAGCAACGCCGCGUGAGUGAUGAAGGUCUUCGGAUCGUAAAACUCUGUUAUUAGGGAAGAGCAAAUGUGUAAGUAACUAUGCACGUCUUGACGGUACCUAAUCAGAAAGCCACGGCUAACUACGUG
This 497-nucleotide ribosomal RNA is filed under the name uncultured bacterium. RNAcentral's name for it is "partial 16S ribosomal RNA". It matches the Rfam family "Bacterial small subunit ribosomal RNA", at positions 28 to 507 of the family's 1533-position model. The record is from RNAcentral.